AUUGAACGCUGGCGGCAUGCUCUACACAUGCAAGUCGAACGGUAACAGGCCGCCAGGUGCUGCCGAGUGGCGAACGGGUGAGUAAUGCAUCGGAACGUGCCCAGUCGUGGGGGAUAACUACUCGAAAGAGUAGCUAAUACCGCAUACGAUCUAUGGAUGAAAGCGGGGGACCGUAAGGCCUCGCGCGAUUGGAGCGGCCGAUGUCAGAUUAGGUAGUUGGUGGGGUAAAGGCUCACCAAGCCAACGAUCUGUAGCUGGUCUGAGAGGACGACCAGCCACACUGGGACUGAGACACGGCCCAGACUCCUACGGGAGGCAGCAGUGGGGAAUUUUGGACAAUGGGCGCAAGCCUGAUCCAGCAAUGCCGCGUGCAGGAAGAAGGCCUUCGGGUUGUAAACUGCUUUUGUACGGAACGAAACGGCUCUGGUUAAUACCCGGGGCUAAUGACGGUACCGUAAGAAUAAGCACCGGCUAACUACGUG
Molecule: ribosomal RNA, 482 nt
Filed under: uncultured bacterium
Lineage: Bacteria
Description: partial 16S ribosomal RNA
Rfam family: Bacterial small subunit ribosomal RNA
Source: RNAcentral